Molecule: ribosomal RNA, 248 nt
Filed under: uncultured Fusobacterium sp.
Lineage: Bacteria; Fusobacteriati; Fusobacteriota; Fusobacteriia; Fusobacteriales; Fusobacteriaceae
Description: partial 16S ribosomal RNA
Rfam family: Bacterial small subunit ribosomal RNA
Source: RNAcentral
UACGUAUGUCGCAAGCGUUAUCCGGAUUUAUUGGGCGUAAAGCGCGUCUAGGCGGCCAGAUAAGUCUGAUGUGAAAAUGCGGGGCUCAACUCCGUAUUGCGUUGGAAACUGUAUGGCUAGAGUACUGGAGAGGUAAGCGGAACUACAAGUGUAGAGGUGAAAUUCGUAGAUAUUUGUAGGAAUGCCGAUGGGGAAGCCAGCUUACUGGACAGAUACUGACGCUAAAGCGCGAAAGCGUGGGUAGCAAA